RNAcentral lists this long non-coding RNA (920 nucleotides) under Marmota monax (woodchuck). The record is from RNAcentral. Lineage: Eukaryota; Metazoa; Chordata; Mammalia; Rodentia; Sciuridae.
UGGAGAGGUGGUUCAGUGCCCUUGGAUUCAAUCCCUGGUUAGAAUAAAAGCCUGCCUUAGCCUCUGAAUCUCUGAGAUCACAGGUGUGAAUCUCAGCCCCAGACUCCUCAGGUCUUUUCACUCGCUCUAUCCUCUGCAUGAGAUGUCUUCUCGCACUCCAUCUUUUUGUGUGGCUCUUUUCCUUAUUUUUGAGGUCUCAGCUGAAGUACUCAGAGGUUGUUUUUUUUUUGGUGUGUGUGGGUGUGUGUGUGUGUGUAUACUAGGACUGAACCCUGGGCACUUUACCACUGAGCUACAUCCCCAGCCCUUUUUAUUUUUUAUUUUGAGACAAGUUCUCAACAAGUUGCUAAGGCUGGCCUCAAACUUUUGAUCCUCUUGCCUUAGCCUCCCAAGUCACUGGGAUUAAAAUUGUGCAAUUUUCCCACUGCCUAGCUCUUCACUGUCUCUUGUGUGGGAGACCAACCUUACACGUGACUGGGUUACACUCCCUAGCUGGGUGCUGAGGCACUCAGUCGCAGAAAUGUGGCAGAGCUUUUCCCACCCUUCUUGGGUUCGAGGGUUGGUGUCUCGUGCAUGGGUGUGUCUUGCUACACCAUGCACUUAACCCCGUGGGUGAAGCUAUGCUCACUUAUUCCUUUGUAAUGUAACCCCUUACCCUGUUUAGGAUAGAAUCUUCUAUGGAAGUGCCUUGUGUGUGUCCCCUUCUCUUACUGUGCCCUUGGGUGUGGCCUACCCAAGUGUCAGUCAACCUGCUGACAGUGGACAUCGUGAAGAUAGACUCAGCCCCCUGAAACCUGACCCCUUGCCUCAUUUGAAUGGCUUCUCCUCAAUGAAAGGGGUCAGCACGUGCUUUCGCUCUCUUUCUGCGGACCCUUAAGGUCAGAGGAGCCGUCACAGCGACCCCAAAGAAAAAGGUAUUU